This 239-nucleotide unclassified non-coding RNA is filed under the name Ascomycota sp. RNAcentral's name for it is "partial contains 5.8S ribosomal RNA, internal transcribed spacer 2, and large subunit ribosomal RNA". Lineage: Eukaryota; Fungi; Ascomycota. The record is from RNAcentral.
CGCACAUUGCGCCCCUUGGUAUUCCGGGGGGCAUGCCUGUUCGAGCGUCAUUUCAACCCUCAAGCUCUGCUUGGUCUUGGGCCGCGCCGGCGACGGCGGGCCUCAAAAUCAGUGGCGGCGCCAUUGGGUCCCUCAGCGUAGUACUUUUUCUCGCUGUUGGGUCUCGGUGGCCGCCGGCCAGCAACCCCCAAUUUUCUAUGGUUGACCUCGGAUCAGGUAGGGAUACCCGCUGAACUUAA